CCCAGGAGCAAGUGUUGCUUGCAGCUUCCUCUCACACUGGCCUGGUAAUGGAGUUCAAUCCCCAGCAAGAGCCAAGGAUUUCUUGUAUUAUUAACCUUUCCCCUCCAGCUCACUGCCCCCACUGCCUACCCUGCUGCCUCAGUGUUUCUUCUUGGAAAGCAAGAAAACUCUGCAUUUCCUAAAGAGCAGCAUCGAGCCCCGGUACCACCAUCCUGAUCUCCGAACUCUGGUGUUGACCACAGGAAAACGCCUUUGCUUGUUCUUGGCAACCGUCCACCACACAAAGACAAAAAUAGGAGCCAGUACCUUGUCCACCCUGGAGCUGUCCCUGGUCUUACUGCCCCCGUGACCAC
Grammomys surdaster is the source of this 353-nucleotide long non-coding RNA. RefSeq lists it as uncharacterized. The record is from RefSeq and is a predicted model, not a curated record. Lineage: Eukaryota; Metazoa; Chordata; Mammalia; Rodentia; Muridae. The transcript has 3 exons.